GCUCCUAUUACGGUCACCGACUUCAGGUACCCCAGACUUCCAUGGCUUGACGGGCGGUGUGUACAAGGCCCGGGAACGUAUUCACCGCGCCAUGGCUGAUGCGCGAUUACUAGCGAUUCCAGCUUCAUAGAGUCGAGUUGCAGACUCCAAUCCGAACUGAGACCGGCUUUCGAGAUUCGCAUCCUGUCACCAGGUAGCUGCCCUCUGUACCGGCCAUUGUAUUACGUGUGUGGCCCAAGACGUAAGGGCCGUGAUGAUUUGACGUCAUCCCCACCUUCCUCUCUACUUGCGUAGGCAGUCCCAACAGAGUCCCCAACUGAAUGAUGGCAACUGUUGGCAGGGGUUGCGCUCGUUGCAGGACUUAACCUAACACCUCACGGCACGAGCUGACGACAACCAUGCAGCACCUUGAAAAUUGCCCGAAGGAGGAUCUAUUUCUAAAUCUGUCAAUUCCCAUUUAAGUCUUGGUAAGGUUCCUCGCGUAUCAUCGAAUUAAACCACAUAAUCCACCGCUUGUGCGGGCCCCCGUCAAUUCCUUUGAGUUUCAUCCUUGCGGACGUACUCUCCAGGUGGCUAACUUAUCACUUUCGCUUGGUCUCUGAACCCGAAGAUCCAAAAACGAGUUAGCAUCGUUUACGGCGUGGACUACCAGGGUAUCUAAUCCUGUUCGCUCCCCACGCUUUCGUCCAUCAGCGUCAGUUAAAUCUUAGUGACCUGCCUUCGCAAUCGGUGUUCUAAGUAAUAUCUAUGCAUUUCACCGCUACACUACUUAUUCCAGCCACUUCAAAUUUACUCAAGGCCUGCAGUAUCAAUGGCAGUUUCAUAGUUAAGCUAUGAGAUUUCACCACUGACUUACAGGCCCGCCUACGGACCCUUUAAACCCAAUAAAUCCGGAUAACGCUCGCACCCUCCGUAUUACCGCGGCUGCUGGCACGGAGUUAGCCGGUGCUUAUUCGUACAGUACUUUCAGCUGCCCUCACGAGGGCAGGUUUAUCCCUGUACAAAAGAAGUUUACAAUCCAUAGGACCGUCAUCCUUCACGCGGGAUGGCUGGAUCAGGCUUCCACCCAUUGUCCAAUAUUCCUCACUGCUGCCUCCCGUAGGAGUCUGGUCCGUGUCUCAGUACCAGUGUGGGGGAUCUCCCUCUCAGGACCCCUAAAGAUCAUCGACUUGGUGGGCCGUUACCCCGCCAACUAUCUAAUCUUGCGCGUGCCCAUCUCUAUCCGCCGAGGCUUUCAAUGGCGACCGAUGCCGGACACCAUAUUAUGGGGUAUUAAUCUUCCUUUCGAAAGGCUAUCCCCCAGAUAAAGGCAGGUUGCACACGUGUUACGCACCCGUACGCCGCUCUCUGGAUAGCAAGCUAUCCAUACCGCUCGGCUGCA
Molecule: ribosomal RNA, 1381 nt
Filed under: uncultured bacterium
Lineage: Bacteria
Description: partial 16S ribosomal RNA
Source: RNAcentral